Myotis davidii is the source of this 545-nucleotide long non-coding RNA. RefSeq lists it as uncharacterized. The transcript is spliced from 3 exons. The record is from RefSeq and is a predicted model, not a curated record. Lineage: Eukaryota; Metazoa; Chordata; Mammalia; Chiroptera; Vespertilionidae.
CGGGGGCCCUUCGUCAGAGGCAGGAGACCCUCGGCCCAGAAGCUCAGAAGCAGCUGUGCCUUCAGGAUGGUUCCCUUCAGGCAAGCAGCUUCUUUCAUUUGCUUGUUGGCUACAGUCUCCUGUGGGUGCCUACCUCAACUAUAUGAGAAUGUCUUCUUCAGAGGCAGGGAUGUGACUGCCAUGUACACCCUGAGCGCCCAUCACUGCCAGGUGAUGUGCACCUUUCACCCCAGGUGUUUGCUAUUCAGUUUUCUCCCUGCGAGUUUAACUAACGGCACAGAUAAAAGGUAAGAGGUGAUAUUUCCUUAUUAGGAAAGCCAGUCAUUUUUCAAAAUGGAAGCAGUUGUGUGCAAAGUGGUACAGCAUCUCACAGGGGUAUGCUUCUCAAAUGGGGUUCAAGGAAUCACCUAGAGUGGAUCUUACAAAAGUAAUUUCUUAGGCUGAAGCCCAGACCUACUGAACCAAAGCUGCAUUGGCCUGGAAAUCUGCAUCCUAAACAAGUGCUGCAUUCACUUAAAGUGGUAGAAGCUAGUUGUUUUCUAUCA